AAUGGGGGCAACCCUGAUCCAGCCAUGCCGCGUGAGUGAUGAAGGCCCUAGGGUUGUAAAGCUCUUUUGUGCGGGAAGAUAAUGACGGUACCGCAAGAAUAAGCCCCGGCUAACUUCGUGCCAGCAGCCGCGGUAAUACGAAGGGGGCUAGCGUUGCUCGGAAUCACUGGGCGUAAAGGGUGCGUAGGCGGGUUUUUAAGUCAGGGGUGAAAUCCUGGAGCUCAACUCCAGAACUGCCCUUGAUACUGAAGAUCUUGAGUCCGGGAGAGGUGAGUGGAACUGCGAGUGUAGAGGUGAAAUUCGUAGAUAUUCGCAAGAACACCAGUGGCGAAGGCGGCUCACUGGCCCGGUACUGACGCUGAGGCACGAAAGCGUGGGGAGCAAA
Molecule: ribosomal RNA, 385 nt
Filed under: uncultured bacterium
Lineage: Bacteria
Description: bacterial SSU rRNA
Rfam family: Bacterial small subunit ribosomal RNA
Source: RNAcentral